UACGGGGGGGGCAAGCGUUGUUCGGAAUUACUGGGCGUAAAGGGCUCGUAGGCGGCCAACUAAGUCGGAUGUGAAAUCCCCAGGCUUAACCUGGGAACUGCAUCCGAUACUGGAUGGCUUGAAUCCGGGAGAGGGAUGCGGAAUUCCAGGUGUAGCGGUGAAAUGCGUAGAUAUCUGGAGGAAUACCGAUGGCGAAGGCAGCCUCCUGGGCCAACACUGACGCUCAUGCACGAAAGCGUGGGGAGCAAACAGG
RNAcentral lists this ribosomal RNA (253 nucleotides) under uncultured bacterium. Its description in RNAcentral is "partial 16S ribosomal RNA". It matches the Rfam family "Bacterial small subunit ribosomal RNA", at positions 524 to 776 of the family's 1533-position model. The record is from RNAcentral.